AUGACGACCGGGGCCGUCACGGAGAGCUUCCCGGAGAGCAGCGAGCCGCUGCUCCCGACGAAGCGGCGAUGGGAGGGGGAGGACGGCGGCGACGACGAGGCCGCCUUCCACGAGUUCAACGGCGCCUCCUUUGCCGGCGCUGUGUUCAACCUGUCCACCACCAUCGUCGGCGCCGGCAUCAUGGCGCUGCCGGCGACCAUGAAGGUGCUCGGCCUCCUCCCCGGCCUGGUCAUGAUCGUGCUCGCCGCCUUCCUCACCGACGCCUCCGUCGAGCUGCUCAUGCGGUUCAGCGGCGUCGUCGGCGCGCCGUCCUACGGCGCCGUCAUGGGGGACGCCUUCGGGUGGUGGGGAAGGAGGCUGCUCCAGGUCUGCGUCGUGGUCAACAACGUCGGGGUCAUGAUCGUGUACAUGAUUAUUAUAGGUGAUGUGCUUUCUGGAACGUCCUCUGGUGGUGAGCACCACUAUGGUGUAUUAGAAGGAUGGUUUGGCACACACUGGUGGAAUGGGCGAUUCUUUGUUCUCCUGGUUACUACUCUCGGUGUAUUUACUCCACUAGCGUGUUUCAAGCGUGUCGAUUCACUGAGCUAUACAUCUGCCAUAUCUGUUGCUUUGGCAGUUGUAUUCGUUGUUAUCACUGCCGGAAUUGCUAUUGUGAAAUUGAUACGAGGACAAAUUCCGAUGCCCAAAUUGUUCCCUGCAGUUCCUGAUUUGGCAUCUGUCUGGGAACUUUUCACAGCAGUGCCAGUUCUUGUCACUGCUUAUGUUUGCCAUUAUAACGUUCACCCAAUCCAUAAUGAACUGAAGGAGUCUUCCCAGAUCAAGCCAAUAGUGCACACAUCACUGGCUCUAUGCUCAACUGUUUAUAUCACAACAAGUUUCUUUGGAUAUCUUCUGUUUGGUGAAUCUACACUCGCUGAUGUGCUCGCUAACUUUGAUUCAAACCUCGGCAUUCCAUAUAGUUCAGUUCUUAGUGAUGCUGUCAGAGUCAGCUAUGCUAUCCACCUUAUGCUCGUGUUCCCCAUGAUAUUCCACGCACUGCGGCUUAAUUUGGAUGGGCUUCUCUUUUCCUCUGCAAUGCCCUUAUCUUCUGAUAACAGAAGGUUUGGUGUAAUGACAGCGGUGCUCCUCCUUGUGAUUUUCAUAUCCGCAAACUUCAUUCCUAGCAUCUGGGAUGCCUUCCAGUUUACCGGGGCUACUGCUGCUGUUUGUAUUGCCUUCAUUUUCCCAGCUGCAAUCACUUUAAGGGAUCCGCACAGCAUAGCGAAAAAGUGGGACAAGAUUCUGGCCAUCUUCAUGAUUGUUCUUGCAGUCACUUCGAACGUAGUAGCAGUGUACAGUGAUGCAUAUUCGAUAUUCCAUAAGAAAAGUGCCUCCUCCAAUGCCUGA
This 1386-nucleotide ribosomal RNA is filed under the name Triticum aestivum (bread wheat). Its description in RNAcentral is "partial small subunit ribosomal RNA". Lineage: Eukaryota; Viridiplantae; Streptophyta; Magnoliopsida; Poales; Poaceae. The record is from RNAcentral.